AGUCGAGCGAACAGACGAGGAGCUUGCUCCUCUGACGUUAGCGGCGGACGGGUGAGUAACACGUGGAUAACCUACCUAUAAGACUGGGAUAACUUCGGGAAACCGGAGCUAAUACCGGAUAAUAUAUUGAACCGCAUGGUUCAAUAGUGAAAGACGGUUUUGCUGUCACUUAUAGAUGGAUCCGCGCCGCAUUAGCUAGUUGGUAAGGUAACGGCUUACCAAGGCAACGAUGCGUAGCCGACCUGAGAGGGUGAUCGGCCACACUGGAACUGAGACACGGUCCAGACUCCUACGGGAGGCAGCAGUAGGGAAUCUUCCGCAAUGGGCGAAAGCCUGACGGAGCAACGCCACGUGAGUGAUGAAGGUCUUCGGAUCGUAAAACUCUGUUAUUAGGGAAGAACAAAUGUGUAAGUAACUAUGCACGUCUUGACGGUACCUAAUCAGAAAGCCACGGCUAACUACGUGCCAGCAGCCGCGGUAAUACGUAGGUGGCAAGCGUUAUCCGGAAUUAUUGGGCGUAAAGCGCGCGUAGGCGGUUUUUUAAGUCUGAUGUGAAAGCCCACGGCUCAACCGUGGAGGGUCAUUGGAAACUGGAAAACUUGAGUGCAGAAGAGGAAAGUGGAAUUCCACGUGUAGCGGUGAAAUGCGCAGAGAUAUGGAGGAACACCAGUGGCGAAGGCGACUUUCUGGUCUGUAACUGACGCUGAUGUGCGAAAGCGUGGGGAUCAAACAGGAUUAGAUACCCUGGUAGUCCACGCCGUAAACGAUGAGUGCUAAGUG
Molecule: ribosomal RNA, 780 nt
Filed under: uncultured Staphylococcus sp.
Lineage: Bacteria; Bacillati; Bacillota; Bacilli; Caryophanales; Staphylococcaceae
Description: bacterial SSU rRNA
Rfam family: Bacterial small subunit ribosomal RNA
Source: RNAcentral